Molecule: ribosomal RNA, 237 nt
Filed under: uncultured bacterium
Lineage: Bacteria
Description: partial 16S ribosomal RNA
Rfam family: Bacterial small subunit ribosomal RNA
Source: RNAcentral
UGGGGAAUAUUGCACAAUGGGCGAAAGCCUGAUGCAGCAACGCCGCGUGAGUGAUGAAGGUCUUCGGAUUGUAAAUGCUCUGUCUUUUGGGGACGAUAAUGACGGUACCAAAGGAGGAAGCCACGGCUAACUACGUGCCAGCAGCCGCGGUAAUACGUAGGUGGCGAGCGUUGUCCGGAUUUACUGGGCGUAAAGGGUGCGUAGGCGGAUGUUUAAGUGAGAUGUGAAAUACCCGGG